GGAUUAUUGGGCGUAAGCGCGCGCAGGCGGUUUCUUAAGUCUGAUGUGAAAGCCCACGGCUCAACCGUGGAGGGUCAUUGGAAACUGGGGAACUUGAGUGCAGAAGAGAAAAGCGGAAUUCCACGUGUAGCGGUGAAAUGCGUAGAGAUGUGGAGGAACACCAGUGGCGAAGGCGGCUUUUUGGUCUGUAACUGACGCUGAGGCGCGAAAGCGUGGGGAGCAAACAGGAUUAGAUACCCUGGUAGUCCACGCCGUAAACGAUGAGUGCUAAGUGUUAGAGGGUUUCCGCCCUUUAUUGCUGCAGCUAACGCAUUAAGCACUCCGCCUGGGGAGUACGGUCGCAAGACUGAAACUCAAAGGAAUUGACGGGGGCCCGCACAAGCGGUGGAGCAUGUGGUUUAAUUCUAAGCAACGCGAAGAACCUUACCAGGUCUUGACAUCCUCUGAGGGCUCUAGAGAUAGAGCGUUCCCCUUCGGGGGACAGAGUGACAGGUGGUGCAUGGUUGUC
Molecule: ribosomal RNA, 508 nt
Filed under: Priestia flexa
Lineage: Bacteria; Bacillati; Bacillota; Bacilli; Caryophanales; Bacillaceae
Description: bacterial SSU rRNA
Rfam family: Bacterial small subunit ribosomal RNA
Source: RNAcentral